CGGCCAUGACAGCCAUCAACUUUCCGUCGGAAUACCUAGCCGUCCUCCCCAUAGAACGUCUUUCUCCACUGCUUAUGUGGCCUUUCAGCGGCUACUUGGCCACUUGCAGGCUCAGUCUCCCCUGUUCUCACAGAGCCUCGUGAGAGGCAAUGGAAGAGUCUGUGAGACACUGGACACGUCAAGCAUCAGCCUGGCACAGGCCCCACGCCAUCCCCCAGUCAUAACAGACAGUCAGUACGUUCUCCAUUUCCUAAGGAUUCAGCCACAGCUGCCUUCCCCAGAACUCGGGUUCCACCUUAGACUGACUCACCAAAACUGUGGCCCAGGAGGGUGAACCGAUUCCACUGAAAGGCUGAAAACACAAAGCCAGAAAGGAGGUUUGUAUGGCCCAGCCUUGUUCUGUCCUUUCUCCCUGAGCCCUGGAGCUUGGGAGUCCCUCCAAAGAGCUGCAGCAGCCCCACACACACUCCCCCCCCCCCAGGAGACCUGCUGAAGGGACUCAGGUUCCACUGGGGGAAGCUCCUAGUGGAGGAGCAGGCUCUUUUCAGGUGCCAGAAAACUGGAAGCAGAAACCC
Molecule: long non-coding RNA, 575 nt
Filed under: Mus pahari (shrew mouse)
Lineage: Eukaryota; Metazoa; Chordata; Mammalia; Rodentia; Muridae
Description: predicted gene 17206 (MGP_PahariEiJ_G0002763.1)
Source: RNAcentral